This 85-nucleotide transfer RNA is filed under the name Candidatus Bipolaricaulota bacterium. RNAcentral describes it as "tRNA-Leu". It matches the Rfam family "tRNA". From Rfam's summary of the family: Transfer RNA (tRNA) molecules are approximately 80 nucleotides in length. Their secondary structure includes four short double-helical elements and three loops (D, anti-codon, and T loops). Lineage: Bacteria; Candidatus Bipolaricaulota. The record is from RNAcentral.
GCCGGGGUGGCGAAACAGGAAGACGCAGGGGACUUAAAAUCCCUUGAGCACGGAGCUCGUGUGGGUUCGAAUCCCGCCCCCGGCA